Molecule: ribosomal RNA, 462 nt
Filed under: Streptococcus cristatus
Lineage: Bacteria; Bacillati; Bacillota; Bacilli; Lactobacillales; Streptococcaceae
Description: bacterial SSU rRNA
Rfam family: Bacterial small subunit ribosomal RNA
Source: RNAcentral
GACGAACGCUGGCGGCGUGCCUAAUACAUGCAAGUAGAACGCUGAAGGAGGAGCUUGCUCUUCUGGAUGAGUUGCGAACGGGUGAGUAACGCGUAGGUAACCUGCCCGGUAGCGGGGGAUAACUAUUGGAAACGAUAGCUAAUACCGCAUAACAUUGACUAUUGCAUGAUAGUCAAUUGAAAGGUGCAAAUGCACCACUACCAGAUGGACCUGCGUUGUAUUAGCUAGUUGGUGGGGUAACGGCUCACCAAGGCGACGAUACAUAGCCGACCUGAGAGGGUGAUCGGCCACACUGGGACUGAGACACGGCCCAGACUCCUACGGGAGGCAGCAGUAGGGAAUCUUCGGCAAUGGACGGAAGUCUGACCGAGCAACGCCGCGUGAGUGAAGAAGGUUUUUGGAUCGUAAAGCUCUGUUGUAAGAGAAGAACGAGUGUGAGAGUGGAAAGUUCACACUGUGACG